CCAAUAGCGUAUAUUAAAGUUGUUGCAGUUAAAAAGCUCGUAGUUGAAUUUCGGGAUUAGUAAGUUGGUCGUGCCUCCGGUAUGUACUGGCUUUACUGGUUCCUCCUUCUUGAAGAACUGUAAUGUCAUUAAUUUGGUGUUGCAGGGAAACAGGACUGUUACUUUGAAAAAAUUAGAGUGUUUAAAGCAGGCUAACGCUUGAAUACAUUAGCAUGGAAUAAUGAAAUAGGACGUUUGAUCCUAUUUUGUUGGUUUCUAGGAUUGACGUAAUGAUUAAUAGGGAUAGUUGGGGGCAUUAGUAUUCAAUUGUCAGAGGUGAAAUUCUUGGAUUUAUUGAAGACUAACUACUGCGAAAGCAUUUGCCAAGGAUGUUUUCAUUAAUCAAGAACGAAAGUUAGGGGAUCGAAGACGAUCAGAUACCGUCGUAGUCUUAACCAUAAACUAUGCCGACUAGGGAUCGGAUGAUGUUAAUUUUUUAAUGACUCAUUCGGCGCCUUACG
Molecule: ribosomal RNA, 500 nt
Filed under: uncultured Glomeromycotina
Lineage: Eukaryota; Fungi; Glomeromycota
Description: partial small subunit ribosomal RNA
Rfam family: Eukaryotic small subunit ribosomal RNA
Source: RNAcentral